RNAcentral lists this ribosomal RNA (1837 nucleotides) under bioreactor sludge metagenome. RNAcentral describes it as "bacterial LSU rRNA". It matches the Rfam family "Bacterial large subunit ribosomal RNA", at positions 1096 to 2925 of the family's 2925-position model. The record is from RNAcentral.
GGAGGUUGGCUUAGAAGCAGCCAUCCUUUAAAGAAAGCGUAAUAGCUCACUGGUCGAGUCGUCCUGCGCGGAAGAUGUAACGGGGCUCAAGCCAAUAACCGAAGCUGCGGAUGCACAGCAAUGUGCGUGGUAGGGGAGCGUUCUGUAGGUCUGUGAAGGUGUCUCGUAAGGGAUGCUGGAGAUAUCAGAAGUGCGAAUGCUGACAUGAGUAGCGAUAAAGCGUGUGAAAAGCACGCUCGCCGAAAGCCCAAGGUUUCCUGCGCAACGUUCAUCGGCGCAGGGUGAGUCGGCCCCUAAGGCGAGGCCGAAAGGCGUAGUCGAUGGGAAACGGGUCAAUAUUCCCGUACCGAUCACAGAUGCGAUGGGGGGACGGAGAAGGUUAGCUCAGCCGGGUGUUGGACGUCCCGGUUUAAGCGUGUAGGCGUGCUGCAUAGGCAAAUCCGUGCGGCUUAGCUGAGGCGUGAUGACGAGUCCCUUUUAGGGACGAAGUGAGUGAUACCCUGCUUCCAGGAAAAGCCUCUAAGCUUCAGUCUGUGAUUGACCGUACCGCAAACCGACACAGGUGGGCAGGAUGAAAAUUCUAAGGCGCUUGAGAGAACCCAGGAGAAGGAACUCGGCAAAUUGACACCGUAACUUCGGGAGAAGGUGUGCCCCGGUAGCGUGUAGUGGCUUGCCCACGAAGCGUGAUGGGGUCGCAGAGAAUAGGUGGCUGCGACUGUUUAACAAAAACACAGCACUCUGCAAAGUCGAAAGACGACGUAUAGGGUGUGACGCCUGCCCGGUGCCGGAAGGUUAAGUGAUGGGGUGCAAGCUCUUGAUCGAAGCCCCGGUAAACGGCGGCCGUAACUAUAACGGUCCUAAGGUAGCGAAAUUCCUUGUCGGGUAAGUUCCGACCUGCACGAAUGGCGUAACGAUGGCCACACUGUCUCCUCUUGGGACUCAGCGAAGUUGAAAUGUUUGUGAAGAUGCAAUCUCCCCGCGGCUAGACGGAAAGACCCCAUGAACCUUUACUGUAGCUUUGCAUUGGACUUUGACGGGACUUGUGUAGGAUAGGUGGGAGGCGUUGAGAUGCGGUCGCCAGAUCGCAUGGAGCCAUCCUUGAAAUACCACCCUGGUGUCGUUGAGGUUCUAACCUGGCCCCCUGAAUCGGGGGUGGGGACCGUGCAUGGCAGGCAGUUUGACUGGGGCGGUCUCCUCCUAAAGGGUAACGGAGGAGUACGAAGGUCUCCUAGGUACGGUCGGACAUCGUACUGAUAGUGCAAUGGCAAAAGGAGGCUUGACUGCGAGACCCACAAGUCGAGCAGGUGCGAAAGCAGGUCAUAGUGAUCCGGUGGUUCUGUAUGGAAGGGCCAUCGCUCAACGGAUAAAAGGUACUCUGGGGAUAACAGGCUGAUUCCGCCCAAGAGUUCACAUCGACGGCGGAGUUUGGCACCUCGAUGUCGGCUCAUCACAUCCUGGGGCUGUAGCCGGUCCCAAGGGUAUGGCUGUUCGCCAUUUAAAGUGGUACGUGAGCUGGGUUCAAAACGUCGUGAGACAGUUUGGUCCCUAUCUGCCGUGGGCGCUGGAGAUUUGAGAGGGCCUGCUCCUAGUACGAGAGGACCGGAGUGGACGUACCUCUGGUGGACCGGUUGUGACGCCAGUCGCAUCGCCGGGUAGCUAAGUACGGAAGAGAUAAACGCUGAAAGCAUCUAAGCGUGAAACUCGCCUCAAGAUAAGAUCUCCCGGGGACUCGAUCCCCCUGAAGGGUCGCGGAAGACCACCGCGUUGAUAGGUCGGGUGUGGAAGCGCAGCAAUGCGUUAAGCUAACCGAUACUAAUUGCCCGUGCGGCUUGACCCU